Molecule: ribosomal RNA, 313 nt
Filed under: uncultured bacterium
Lineage: Bacteria
Description: bacterial SSU rRNA
Rfam family: Bacterial small subunit ribosomal RNA
Source: RNAcentral
GACGUAACGCUGGGCGGCGUGCUUAACACGAUGCAAGUUGAGCGAGGGAUGGAUUUAGGAGGAGACAUAUGUUGAAUUGAAUCAUUCGAGCAGCGGACGGGUGAGUAAAGCACAAGGACUUGUCCGAAAGAGAGGGACACCUUCGGGAAACCGGAGCUAAUACCUCAUAAGCCGGAAGGUGAAAAGCAGAGAUGCGCUUUUGGAGAGACUUGUGUCCUAUCAGGCAGUUGGUGAGGUGAAAGCUCACCAAACCGAAGACGGGUAGCCGGACUGAGAGGUCGACCGGCCACAUUGGGACUGAGAUACGGCCCAG